This 740-nucleotide ribosomal RNA is filed under the name uncultured archaeon. RNAcentral describes it as "bacterial SSU rRNA". It matches the Rfam family "Archaeal small subunit ribosomal RNA", at positions 1 to 750 of the family's 1478-position model. The record is from RNAcentral.
UUCCGGUUGAUCCUGCCGGACCCGACUGCUAUCAGAGUGGGACUAAGCCAUGCGAGUCAACGUAGCAAUACGUGGCAUACGGCUCAGUAACACGUAGUCAACAUGCCCAGGGGACGACGAUAACCUCGGGAAACUGAGGAUAAACCUCGAUAGGCCAUGAUUUCUGGAAUGAUUCUUGGCUCAAACCUAUAUGGCCCCUGGAUUGGACUGCGGCCGAUCAGGCUGUUGGUGAGGUAAUGGCCCACCAAACCUAUUACCGGUACGGGCUCUGAGAGGAGGAGCCCGGAGAUGGGCACUGAGACAAGGGCCCAGGCCCUAUGGGGCGCAGCAGGCGCGAAACCUCUGCAAUAGGCGAAAGCUUGACAGGGUUACUCUGAGUGAUUUCCGCUAAGGGAAUCUUUUGGCACCUCUAAAAAUGGUGCAGAAUAAGGGGUGGGCAAGUCUGGUGUCAGCCGCCGCGGUAAUACCAGCACCCCGAGUGGUCGGGACGAUUAUUGGGCCUAAAGCAUCCGUAGCCGGUCCUGCAAGUCUUCCGUUAAAUCCAGCUGCACAACAGAUGGGCUGCGGGAGAUACUACAGGACUAGGAGGCGGGAGAGGCAAGCGGUACUUUAUGGGUAGGGGUAAAAUCCGCUGAUCCAUAGAAGACCACCAGUGGCGAAGGCGGCUUGCCAGAACGCGCUCGACGGUGAGGGAUGAAAGCUGGGGGAGCAAACCGGAUUAGAUACCCGGGUAGUCCCAG